ACUAAAAAAAAAUGUUAUCAGAUUAAAUAAUUUGUUUUCAAACGAGUACUUAAGUAUAGGUAUUGAAUUUUUAAAUAUUUUGAAUAAAAUUAUUUUGAUGUUAAAUUGUAAGUUUAGAAGUUAUGAUGACACAACAGGAUGUGAUAUUAUUGAUGGUAUUGAGAGGCAUGAUAUAUCUUUGGUAAAAGAAAGUACAGUUGGUAAUAUCGAAACAAGCGGAACGGACAAACAAAAAAAAACAAAAAACAAAUUUACAUUGACCAAAUAUAAUCUAUAUAACAACAAAUAUAUUCUUACAUUUGUUAAUUGCUUAAAAAAUAAAAUAAUAUGUAAAAUAUUAUUUUCGGAUAUUAUAACUGACAAAUCCAAAAAUAAAAAUAAAAAAAAUGUAAUUAAAAAAAAGAAACAAGUAGAUACAAAGUACAUUUAUGACAUUUUUAAAAAAGAGUACACAUUUGGUGAUAAAAUUAUGAUUUCUUUACAACAUAUAUUAGAUAUAAAUAUAAGAACGUAUUUAUUUUUAUUUGUUUAUUUAUUUGUUGGGAAUUAUAUAUCAUAUAUCGAUCUAGAUUAUGUAUUAAAUAUACUUAUCUAUUAUGACAGGUAUAUUUGUUAUGACAAUGUACAAAUGCCUGAUGAUAUUAUUGAACAGGCAAAAAAUGACAUAUUGUUUGGUGAGUAUUGGGACACAUCAUUCGACACUAGUGACAAAGGCUAUACAAAACGGAAGCAUGAUUCUUAUACUGAAAAUGAAGAAGAAGAAGAAGAAGAAGAAGAGGAAGAAGAAGAAGAGGAAAAAGAAGAAGAAAAAGAAAAAGAAGAGAAAAAAUGGAAAACAAAGAAAAAAAAAGGUCACAUGUACAGUAAUACUACUACUUCAUUAACAGAGGAACAUGGUCGUAAACAAAAUACCAAAACAAAACAAUCUGCUUCACUAGUUACAAAAACAGAUAGCACCGAAGACAUAGAUCAAAAUGUAAUAAAGAAGAGCACAGACGAAGGAAACAACGUGUUAAUAAAUAUAAACGCAUGUAAACUAAUUUAUAUAUAUAUUUUAAUUUGUAAUAAAAAAUUUAUAAAUGAGUUAAGUAACAAAACGAGUAUAAAAGAAUUGAACGAAUAUUACUACCUCGGAUGGAAUACAAAGUACUACGAAAUGUUAAUAAACUAUCAUCAAAACAUUUUAAAAGAAGCAUACAUAACAAAUGUACUGUAUGAUAGUUAUU
Molecule: long non-coding RNA, 1226 nt
Filed under: Piliocolobus tephrosceles (Ugandan red Colobus)
Lineage: Eukaryota; Metazoa; Chordata; Mammalia; Primates; Cercopithecidae
Description: lncRNA (ENSPTEG00000017050.1)
Source: RNAcentral